Molecule: ribosomal RNA, 253 nt
Filed under: uncultured bacterium
Lineage: Bacteria
Description: partial 16S ribosomal RNA
Rfam family: Bacterial small subunit ribosomal RNA
Source: RNAcentral
UACGAAGGGGGCUAGCGUUGCUCGGAAUUACUGGGCGUAAAGGGCGCGUAGGCGGUUCUGUUAGUCCGGCGUGAAAUUCCUGGGCUCAACCUGGGGGCUGCGCUUGAUACUGCGGAACUAGAGGAUGGAAGAGGCUCGUGGAAUUCCCAGUGUAGAGGUGAAAUUCGUAGAUAUUGGGAAGAACACCGGUGGCGAAGGCGGCGAGCUGGUCCAUUACUGACGCUGAGGCGCGAAAGCGUGGGGAGCAAACAGG